Camelus dromedarius (Arabian camel) is the source of this 165-nucleotide long non-coding RNA. RefSeq lists it as uncharacterized. The transcript has 3 exons. The record is from RefSeq and is a predicted model, not a curated record. NCBI's taxonomy places the organism in Eukaryota, Metazoa, Chordata, Mammalia, Artiodactyla, Camelidae.
GGAAGGGAGUGGCAGUUAAUAAUUGCUGAAAGGUAAAUCUGGGUCUGCUGGUAUCUGCGCCGGAGUCAAGUCUCCUGAAGAAGGGAUGACGUUGUGAGUAACAGCAUGAUAUUGCGUAUCUGUGCGAGGCCACGUUUUUAAUCCUUACACUUCCAAACAACACAU